GACGAACGCUGGCGGCGUGCUUAACACAUGCAAGUCGAACGGUAAGGCUCCAGCUUGCUGGGGUACACGGGUGGCGAACGGGUGAGUAACACGUGGGUGACCUGCCCUGCACUUCGGGAUAAGCCUGGGAAACUGGGUCUAAUACCGGAUAGGACCGCACCGUGAGGGUGUGGUGGAAAGUUUUUUCGGUGUGGGAUGGGCCCGCGGCCUAUCAGCUUGUUGGUGGGGUAAUGGCCUACCAAGGCGGCGACGGGUAGCCGGCCUGAGAGGGUGGACGGCCACAUUGGGACUGAGACACGGCCCAGACUCCUACGGGAGGCAGCAGUGGGGAAUAUUGCACAAUGGGCGGAAGCCUGAUGCAGCGACGCCGCGUGGGGGAUGACGGCCUUCGGGUUGUAAACUCCUUUCACCAUCGACGAAGGGUUUCUGACGGUAGAUGGAGAAGAAGCACCGGCUAACUACGUGCCAGCAGCCGCGGUAAUACGUAGGGUGCGAGCGUUGUCCGGAAUUACUGGGCGUAAAGAGCUCGUAGGUGGUUUGUCGCGUCGUCUGUGAAAUUCCGGGGCUUAACUCCGGGCGUGCAGGCGAUACGGGCAUAACUUGAGUACUGUAGGGGAGACUGGAAUUCCUGGUGUAGCGGUGAAAUGCGCAGAUAUCAGGAGGAACACCGGUGGCGAAGGCGGGUCUCUGGGCAGUAACUGACGCUGAGGAGCGAAAGCAUGGGGAGCGAACAGGAUUAGAUACCCUGGUAGUCCAUGCCGUAAACGGUGGGCGCUAGGUGUGGGUUUCCUUCCACGGGAUCCGUGCCGUAGCUAACGCAUUAAGCGCCCCGCCUGGGGAGUACGGCCGCAAGGCUAAAACUCAAAGGAAUUGACGGGGGCCCGCACAAGCGGCGGAGCAUGUGGAUUAAUUCGAUGCAACGCGAAGAACCUUACCUGGGCUUGACAUAUACAGGAUCGCGCCAGAGAUGGUGUUUCCCUUGUGGCUUGUAUACAGGUGGUGCAUGGUUGUCGUCAGCUCGUGUCGUGAGAUGUUGGGUUAAGUCCCGCAACGAGCGCAACCCUUGUCUUAUGUUGCCAGCACGUUGUGGUGGGGACUCGUAAGAAACUGCCGGGGUUAACUCGGAGGAAGGUGGGGAUGACGUCAAAUCAUCAUGCCCCUUAUGUCCAGGGCUUCACACAUGCUACAAUGGUCGGUACAGUGGGUUGCCAGUCCGUGAGGGCGAGCUAAUCCCGCAAAGCCGGUCUCAGUUCGGAUCGGGGUCUGCAACUCGACCCCGUGAAGUCGGAGUCGCUAGUAAUCGCAGAUCAGCAACGCUGCGGUGAAUACGUUCCCGGGCCU
This 1341-nucleotide ribosomal RNA is filed under the name uncultured bacterium. Its description in RNAcentral is "partial 16S ribosomal RNA". It matches the Rfam family "Bacterial small subunit ribosomal RNA", at positions 28 to 1381 of the family's 1533-position model. The record is from RNAcentral.